CUCCCUGAAAGUAAGCAUUGUAGUAUGAUGUCUGGUAAUAAUAUGGUUACUAUUUCAAUUAUAAUUGCAAUUGCGAUGCAGGGAGUUGCAAGUCUGCAUCUUAGUCAGGUUGGUAGUAGAGGCCAGAGAAACACACAGAAGUCACUUUUCUCCAGGAAUAAUAAUUUGAAUACCCGAAGGACUAGUCAAUCACAUGGAACUUCCGGUUUUACAAGUUCAAACUCAAGAUUACCACAUGACACGUCAUCACCAUUACGACAACCUGGAAAUGGUAAUCCUAGGGGAGGGAGAGUAGGAGGGAGAGUAACCGUCAGAUUUAAUAACGAACCUGAUAGAAUGAGAAUCGGAAAUAAUAAUGUCAAUAACAAUAAUAACAAUAAUAUAAACAAUAACAUAAACAAUAAUAUCAAUAUGAAUGAUAACUUUCAUCAGCUACAAACAAUGCCAAAUCCGCAGUUUAAUGAACUUCCUUCCAGCAGACAAUCUCCUAUUAAUUACUCUGUAAGAGAACUCAUGCAUCAACAGUUACUCACCAGACAAAUUUUAAUAGGGUUAAUAAGAAAACAACUUUUUGAUACCAAUGGACGUUAUGUUCAAGAUCCUGCUGCAAGGGGAGCUAAUUUCGUCGAUCCAAGAAAAAUACUAAGACCACAGCAAAAUUUCCCAAAUUUCGGAGGUAAUAAGCAACAAUUACCCGGUACCUUGACAAUUGAAUCAACCGGUGCUAUUAGUGUUACAGAGGUUCAAACGCCAAACGGGGAAACAAAAAUAAUAAUUGAUGCAACAAGCAAAAAUAACAAAACUACAAAAUCUCCGCCUCUAGAAGAAGUAGAAGCUCCAUGACAGGAGGACGUUACACACAAAUAUAUUUCCGAGAUAUCGUAAUAGAUAUUCUCUCACCAAUUCUACAAGUAGAUUUCUUGUUCAGCAGAGGCGAUUGCGAGUUUCACGAGCCGUCAAAAUUCAGAAAAUAGGAAUUACAUCUCGUGCUAUUUAUUGCGAAGAGAUAAGGUUGCAGCUCAUUCCGUCGUCUGAGUUUGUUUACAGUGUUUUGUGGGACUUAGUGUUUUGGGUAUUUUGUUUACAGUACGCUAUAUGAGUUCAGCGGUGUUUUUGUUUUGUUUACAGUAGGCUUGACGAUUUCAGUAUUUUGUGUACUUUUUACACUAUACUGUAUGAUUUUAGUUUGUAGUUUGUUUUUAGUACGCUGGAUGAAUUCAGUGUUUUGUGUAAUUUGUAAACACUACGUUGAAUGAUUUCAGUGUCUGCGUGUAAUAUGUUUACAGUACCCUGAAUGAUUUCAGUGUCUGCGUGUAAUUUGUUUACAGUACCCUAAAUGAUUUCAGUGUCUGCGUGUAAUAUGGUUAUAGUACCCUGAAUAGUUUCAGUGUCUGCGUGUAAUAUGUUUACAGUACCCUGAAGGAUUUCAGUGUUUCCGUGUAAUAUGUUUACAAUACCCUGAACGAUUUCAGUGUUUCAUCAUAUUUUGGUGUAUUUUUUAUAUAUUGAUAUAUAAUGUAUGUAUUCAAUGUUUGAUCCAUUAUUGUUUUAUAUGAAAAACAAAUAAAAGAUAUUAAGUUAAA
This is a long non-coding RNA of Mytilus californianus (California mussel), 1583 nucleotides long. RefSeq lists it as uncharacterized. The record is from RefSeq and is a predicted model, not a curated record. The transcript has 2 exons. NCBI's taxonomy places the organism in Eukaryota, Metazoa, Mollusca, Bivalvia, Mytilida, Mytilidae.